ACCGGCGCACGGGUGCGUAACGCGUAUGCAACCUACCUGUAACAGGGGGAUAACACUGAGAAAUCGGUACUAAUACCGCAUAACACUAUGAGAGGCAUCUCUUGUGGUUGAAAGUUUCGGCGGUUACAGAUGGGCAUGCGGCGCAUUAGCUAGUUGGUGAGGUAACGGCUCACCAAGGCGACGAUACAUAGGGGGACUGAGAGGUUAACCCCCCACAUUGGUACUGAGACACGGACCAAACUCCUACGGAAGGCAGCAG
This 259-nucleotide ribosomal RNA is filed under the name uncultured bacterium. Its description in RNAcentral is "partial 16S ribosomal RNA". It matches the Rfam family "Bacterial small subunit ribosomal RNA", at positions 94 to 354 of the family's 1533-position model. The record is from RNAcentral.